This 421-nucleotide long non-coding RNA is filed under the name Mytilus galloprovincialis (Mediterranean mussel). Lineage: Eukaryota; Metazoa; Mollusca; Bivalvia; Mytilida; Mytilidae. The record is from RNAcentral.
UUUUUUUUUUUUUUACAUAAAAGUCAGUUUUGGUUUUUUUUUUUGCUUAAAAUUUUUUUUCCUCAAAAUAGGUAAAUUUUUGGAAUGACGUCAUUGUUUGGUAUGUGACGUCACGAACGUCGAGUUUUCAUAUUGUAUGUGACGUCACGAACGUCAAGUUUUCAUAGAUUUUGGCACACUAAAUGCAACUAUGAAAAAUACAAAACACACAAAUUAAUACAAUAAUAAACAAAAUAUUUUUAAAACAACAGCACGCAAAUUGUAAGGUAACCCAGGUGCUUCGGAUAAGUAAUUGAGCAGUUCUUUUAAUGCCUUUGAAACAAGACAAAAGUAGAACUGAAGGUAACCCAGUGCUAUGGAUCAGAAAACAGUUCAUAUAAUAUAAUACUCUUCUGUUGAAAUAUAUGAUAAAGUGUAUAAU